Molecule: ribosomal RNA, 305 nt
Filed under: uncultured bacterium
Lineage: Bacteria
Description: bacterial SSU rRNA
Rfam family: Bacterial small subunit ribosomal RNA
Source: RNAcentral
CCUACGGGGGGCAGCAGUGGGGAAUUUUGGACAAUGGGCGCAAGCCUGAUCCAGCUAUUCCGCGUGUGGGAAGACGGCCUUCGGGUUGUAAACCACUUUUGUAGAGAACGAAAAGUCUGUUGAUAAUACCGAUAGAUGAUGACGGUACUCUAAGAAUAAGCACCGGCUAACUACGUGCCAGCAGCCGCGGUAAUACGUAGGGUGCGAGCGUUAAUCGGAUUUAUUGGGUUUAAAGGGUGCGCAGGCGGCGAGUUAAGUCAGCGGUAAAAUUUCGGGGCUCAACCCCGGCAAGCCGUUGAAACUGG